RNAcentral lists this ribosomal RNA (903 nucleotides) under uncultured bacterium. RNAcentral's name for it is "bacterial SSU rRNA". It matches the Rfam family "Bacterial small subunit ribosomal RNA", at positions 8 to 914 of the family's 1533-position model. The record is from RNAcentral.
AGAGUUUGAUCAUGGCUCAGAAUCAACGCUGGCGGCGUGCCUAACACAUGCAAGUCGAGUGCGCGGUUGUAGCAAUACAACUGGCGCACGGCGCACGGGUGCGUAACACGUGGGCAAUCUGCCCUUCGAUGGGGAAUAACUCCGGGAAACCGAAGCUAAUUCCGCAUAACAUUCCUUGGACUUCGGUUCGAGGAUUCAAAGCCGUAAGGCGUCGGAGGAGGAGCCCGCGCACGAUUAGCUAGUUGGUAGGGUAACGGCCUACCAAGGCUUUGAUCGUUAGCUGGUCUGAGAGGAUGGCCAGCCACACUGGAACUGAGACACGGUCCAGACUCCUACGGGAGGCAGCAGUGGGGAAUCUUGCACAAUGGGCGAAAGCCUGAUGCAGCGACGCCGCGUGGGGGAUGAAGCAUCUCGGUGUGUAAACCCCUUUCGACCCGGACGAAUGCCUCGCAAGAGGAGUGACGGUACGGGUAUAAGAAGCCCCGGCUAACUACGUGCCAGCAGCCGCGGUAAGACGUAGGGGGCCAGCGUUGUUCGGAAUUACUGGGUGUAAAGGGUUCGUAGGCGGUGUGGCAAGUUGGGAGUGAAAUCCCUGGGCUCAACCCAGAGGCUGCUUCCAAAACUGCCAUGCUUGAGUGUGGGAGAGGCGCGUGGAAUUGCAGGUGUAGCGGUGAAAUGCGUAGAUAUCUGCAGGAACACCCGUGGCGAAAGCGGCGCGCUGGACCACAACUGACGCUGAGGAACGAAAGCUAGGGGAGCAAACAGGAUUAGAUACCCUGGUAGUCCUGGCCCUAAACGAUCAGGACUUGGGGUGCCGCACGUUCGUGCGUCGUCCCGGAGCUAACGCGUUAAGUCCUGCACCUGGGGAGUACGGUCGCAAGACUGAAACUCAAAGGAAUUGAC